UUGGAGGGCAAGUCUGGUGCCAGCAGCCGCGGUAAUUCCAGCUCCAAUAGCGUAUAUUAAAGUUGUUGCAGUUAAAAAGCUCGUAGUUGAAUUUCGGGGUCAGUAGAUUGGUCGUGCCACUGGUAUGUACUGGUCUUACUGGCUCCUCCUUCCUGAUGAACCGUAAUGCCAUUAAUUUGGUGUUGCGGGGAGACUGGACUGUUACUUUGAAAAAAUUAGAGUGUUUAAAGCAGGCUAACGCUUGAAUACAUUAGCAUGGAAUAAUGAAAUAGGACGUUCGAUCUUAUUUUGUUGGUUUCUAGGAUUGACGUAAUGAUUAAUAGGGAUAGUUGGGGGCAUUAGUAUUCAAUUGUCAGAGGUGAAAUUCUUGGAUUUAUUGAAGACUAACUACUGCGAAAGCAUUUGCCAAGGAUGUUUUCAUUAAUCAGGAACGAAAGUUAGGGGAUCGAAGACGAUCAGAUACCGUCGUAGUCUUAACCAUAAACUAUGCCGACUAGGGAUCGGAUGAUGUUAAUUUUUUAAUGACUCAUUCGGCGCCUUACGGGAAAC
Molecule: ribosomal RNA, 549 nt
Filed under: uncultured Glomus
Lineage: Eukaryota; Fungi; Glomeromycota; Glomeromycetes; Glomerales; Glomeraceae
Description: SSU rRNA
Rfam family: Eukaryotic small subunit ribosomal RNA
Source: RNAcentral